RNAcentral lists this ribosomal RNA (465 nucleotides) under Vreelandella stevensii. RNAcentral's name for it is "partial 16S ribosomal RNA". It matches the Rfam family "Bacterial small subunit ribosomal RNA", at positions 338 to 795 of the family's 1533-position model. Lineage: Bacteria; Pseudomonadati; Pseudomonadota; Gammaproteobacteria; Oceanospirillales; Halomonadaceae. The record is from RNAcentral.
CCUACGGGGGGCAGCAGUGGGGAAUAUUGGACAAUGGGGGCAACCCUGAUCCAGCCAUGCCGCGUGUGUGAAGAAGGCCCUCGGGUUGUAAAGCACUUUCAGUGAGGAAGAACGCCUGGUGGUUAAUACCCAUCAGGAAAGACAUCACUCACAGAAGAAGCACCGGCUAACUCCGUGCCAGCAGCCGCGGUAAUACGGAGGGUGCGAGCGUUAAUCGGAAUUACUGGGCGUAAAGCGCGCGUAGGUGGCUUGAUAAGCCGGUUGUGAAAGCCCCGGGCUCAACCUGGGAACGGCAUCCGGAACUGUCAAGCUAGAGUGCAGGAGAGGAAGGUAGAAUUCCCGGUGUAGCGGUGAAAUGCGUAGAGAUCGGGAGGAAUACCAGUGGCGAAGGCGGCCUUCUGGACUGACACUGACGCUGAGGUGCGAAAGCGUGGGUAGCAAACAGGAUUAGAUACCCUUGUAGUC